Phodopus roborovskii (desert hamster) is the source of this 636-nucleotide long non-coding RNA. RefSeq lists it as uncharacterized. The transcript is spliced from 3 exons. The record is from RefSeq and is a predicted model, not a curated record. NCBI's taxonomy places the organism in Eukaryota, Metazoa, Chordata, Mammalia, Rodentia, Cricetidae.
CUCAAAGCUUAGCCGCUUGCAGUGGUGGUGGUUAGGCAUAAUUGGCUUGCAAAUUUCAUUCUUUCCCUUUUUUUUUUAACUCUUCACUUUUGAACUGUCCUUGAGAAAUGGAGGCAAUGAGAGCUUUUGAGGAUAACAAUCUCUAGGUGUUCGGACAUUGAAAACAAACUUAAAACCUGGUGAAAGAAAGUGGUGGACAGACAAGUCGCUAGUGUGGUGGACAUCUGUUGACGACGUGUCUGAAAAUUAAGGGUCUCUUGCUGAACCUGGAACUCCCUAGUUUGCUAGAUUGGCUGACAAGAAAUUCCCUGGGAUACACCUGGCCCUGCCUCCCAGAAGUGAUAAGUGUCACCUCAUCAAGGAAACUUCCCUUUGCAGCAUCCAGAGACCAUUACAGAAAACCACAAUGAAUCAAAUAUCAGAGUUGUGGCAUCCAGUGCCAAUGGAUGCAUCUACAGUUCAACUCCUGCGUCUAAAGUCCGGGGAUCACUGCAGAGAAGGGGGAGAAAGGUGGCAAGAGCCUGAGGAAAGGGAGUCUUCUGUGAGAUUAUGCAUCUAGCAAUGUCAAAAGGACAGUUGUCCAAAACACCUUUUCUGUGUUUUAUCUUUUCCUUUUGAAAAUAAAUCUUUGAGACA